GUGGGGUAAUGGCUCACCAAGGCGACGACGGGUAGCCGGCCUGAGAGGGUGACCGGCCACACUGGGACUGAGACACGGCCCAAACUCCUACGGGAGGCAGCAGUGGGGAAUAUUGCACAAUGGGCGGAAGCCUGAUGCAGCGACGCCGCGUGAGGGAUGACGGCCUUCGGGUUGUAAACCUCUUUCAGUAGGGAAGAAGCGAGAGUGACGGUACCUGCAGAAGAAGCGCCGGCUAACUACGUGCCAGCAGUCGCGGUAAUACGUAGGGCGCAAGCGUUGUCCGGAAUUAUUGGGCGUAAAGAGCUCGUAGGCGGUUUGUCGCGUCUGCUGUGAAAGCCCGGGGCUCAACCCCGGGUCUGCAGUGGGUACGGGCAGACUAGAGCGCAGUAGGGGAGACUGGAAUUCCUGGUGUAGCGGUGAAAUGCGCAGAUAUCAGGAGGAACACCGAUGGCGAAGGCAGGUCUCUGGGCUGUUACUGACGCUGAGGAGCGAAAGCAUGGGGAGCGAACAGGAUUAGAUACCCUGGUAAUCCAUGCCGUAAACGUUGGGCACUAGGUGUGGGGGACAUUCCACGUUCUCCGCGCCGUAGCUAACGCAUUAAGUG
This 604-nucleotide ribosomal RNA is filed under the name uncultured Actinomycetes bacterium. RNAcentral's name for it is "bacterial SSU rRNA". It matches the Rfam family "Bacterial small subunit ribosomal RNA", at positions 252 to 866 of the family's 1533-position model. Lineage: Bacteria; Bacillati; Actinomycetota; Actinomycetes. The record is from RNAcentral.